Molecule: non-coding RNA, 24 nt
Filed under: Arabidopsis thaliana (thale cress)
Lineage: Eukaryota; Viridiplantae; Streptophyta; Magnoliopsida; Brassicales; Brassicaceae
Source: RNAcentral
GUAGCUUUGGAUGUUUGGGUUAUA